GUCGUAGCUCAGUGGUAGAGCGUUUGUCUUGUACACAGAAGGACUCAGGUUCAGUCCCCAACUGGGACU
This is a non-coding RNA of Podarcis lilfordi (Lilford's wall lizard), 69 nucleotides long. NCBI's taxonomy places the organism in Eukaryota, Metazoa, Chordata, Lepidosauria, Squamata, Lacertidae. The record is from the annotation of a GenBank genome assembly.